This 877-nucleotide ribosomal RNA is filed under the name uncultured euryarchaeote. RNAcentral describes it as "bacterial SSU rRNA". It matches the Rfam family "Archaeal small subunit ribosomal RNA", at positions 21 to 903 of the family's 1478-position model. The record is from RNAcentral. Lineage: Archaea; Methanobacteriati; Methanobacteriota.
AGGCUACCGCUAUUGGAGUUCGAUUAAGCCAUGCGAGUCGCGAGUCUUAGGGACUCGGCGUACCGCUCAGUAACACGUGGGUAACCUGCCCUAUGCUGGGGGAUAACCUCGGGAAACUGAGAAUAAUACCCCAUAGUUCACUACGCCUGGAACGGUGAGUGGAUGAAAGCCCCGGCGGCAUAGGAUGGGCCUGCGGCGUAUCAGGUCGUAGGGGGUGUAACGUACCCUCUAGCCAUCGACGCGUACGGGUGUUGGGAGACAUAGCCCGGAGAUGGAUUCUGAGACACGAAUCCAGACCCUACGGGGUGCAGCAGGCGCGAAAACUUGGCAAUGCGAGAAAUCGUGACCAGGGAACUCCAAGUGGCUGGGGUAAGACCCAGUCUUUUCUUGACUCUUCAAAGGUCUUGGAAUAAGAGGUGGGUAAGGACGGUGCCAGCCGCCGCGGUAAUACCGGCGCCUCAAGUGGUAGUCGAUUUUAUUGGGCCUAAAACGUCCGUAGCCUGUUUGGUACAUUCGUGGGUAAAUCAACCAGCUCAACUGGUUGAAUUCUGCGAGCACGGCCAGACUUGGGACCGGGAGAGGUGUGGGGUACGCUCAGGGUAGGGGUAAAAUCCUGUCAUCCUGAGCGGACCACCUGUUGCGAAGGCGCCACACUAGAACGGAUCCGACGGUCAGGGACGAAGCCUAGGGGCACGAACCGGAUUAGAUACCCGGGUAGUCCUAGGUGUAAACGCUGUGGACUUGGUGUUGGGGAUGAUCCGAUCAUUCUCAGUGCCGAAGCGAAGGUGAUAAGUCCACUGCCUGGGGAGUACGGUCGCAAGGCUGAAACUUAAAGGAAUUGGCGGGGGAGCACCGCAACCUGAGGAUUGUGCGGUUU